Molecule: long non-coding RNA, 961 nt
Organism: Harpia harpyja (harpy eagle)
Lineage: Eukaryota; Metazoa; Chordata; Aves; Accipitriformes; Accipitridae
Exons: 3
Source: RefSeq, a predicted model, not a curated record
CCAGAAAAUGGCCUUUGUGAUAAUGCCACUGAGAUUUAGAGCAUUAAAGCAAUCUCAUUAUCAGUUUACAUCCCCAGUUGGAAAUCGGAGAUUGUUCAGCACAUCAAACAGUAGAGCGGGGGCAUGUAAUGUGCAGCCCAAGGGCCAGAUGAGACCUGCUGAGUCAUAUAAUGUGGGCUCCAGCUGCCAUCUUCCUAUCUUGCCUUUAAAAUGGCAAUAAAGACCUUGAAUUAUAAAUGAGGGUUGGCUGGCUGACAUAUAUAAUGCGAAGAUUCUUUUUAUAUGGAAAGAAGGCCCGUACAGGUAUUGUUAAAGCAUUUGUACCAACUUCACUUACUUUUAGCAAGGUACAGAGUUCUAAUGUCAUUUUUAUUAUUUCCUUUGUGAUAAAACUAAUAUUCUCCAAGAUAUGGGGGAGGGGUUAUGUGAAUCUGCCAUCCUGAAAGGUACACAAAUAGUUUACUCAAAAUACCACUCAAUUUUUAUUUAUUUAUUUUUAAUUUACUCAUUCUUACAAAAAACACCACAAAAUAAUUGUCUUUUCUCUUUCUUGGGGGAUAAAAUCUGAGUGUGACCACGCUUCUGCAAAUUCUGGCUUUGCUUUGGGAAAGAAAUGUGUCUGUGUUGUGUCGUGGACCAUUGGGGAAUUAUGGAUGACAGGUACUAGAAGGUGAACUUCUGCAGUGCAGAACAUGGGGAAUAUGCAUUGACCUUGCAGGACCACUUCAGAAGCCCCCAGAAUACAUCAUCUGAGGGUCUGGAAGACACCAGCUAGUUCCUUUGAACUUGCAUCAUGACAGGGUCCUACUUCAUGUUUCUCACCGGGACAAUACGUGUGGAUUCCAGGUUUCUCCUUCCUUCGUGGCGUUCUGUCUCUUUUGCUUCACUGGGUAUGUGGUUGCUCAGCAUGUGAUGAAACUGAGUCUUCUGCAAGGACAACUAAACAACCAGUGUUAUUCAU